RNAcentral lists this ribosomal RNA (341 nucleotides) under uncultured Pseudomonadota bacterium. RNAcentral describes it as "bacterial SSU rRNA". It matches the Rfam family "Bacterial small subunit ribosomal RNA", at positions 29 to 351 of the family's 1533-position model. The record is from RNAcentral. Lineage: Bacteria; Pseudomonadati; Pseudomonadota.
AACGAACGCUGGCGGCGUGCCUAACACAUGCAAGUCGAACGAGAAAUCCUGAGCAAUCGGGAGAGUAAAGUGGCGCACGGGUGAGUAACGCGUGGGUAACCUACCCUUAAAUUUGGGAUAACUCCUCGAAAGGGGAGUUAAUACCGGAUAAUAUUCUGAUUUCUUCGGGGGUUGGAAUCAAAGAUGGCCUCUGCAUGCAAGCUAUCAUUUAAGGAUGGGCCCGCGUACCAUUAGCUUGUUGGUAGGGUAAUGGCCUACCAAGGCAACGAUGGUUAGCUGGUCUGAGAGGAUGGCCAGCCACACUGGAACUGAGACACGGUCCAGACUCCUACGGGUGGCUG